This 286-nucleotide ribosomal RNA is filed under the name Staphylococcus sp. HMSC036D05. RNAcentral's name for it is "partial 16S ribosomal RNA". It matches the Rfam family "Bacterial small subunit ribosomal RNA", at positions 91 to 371 of the family's 1533-position model. Lineage: Bacteria; Bacillati; Bacillota; Bacilli; Caryophanales; Staphylococcaceae. The record is from RNAcentral.
GUUAGCGGCGGACGGGUGAGUAACACGUGGAUAACCUACCUAUAAGACUGGGAUAACUUCGGGAAACCGGAGCUAAUACCGGAUAAUAUGUUGAACCGCAUGGUUCAACAGUGAAAGACGGUCUUGCUGUCACUUAUAGAUGGAUCCGCGCCGCAUUAGCUAGUUGGUAAGGUAACGGCUUACCAAGGCAACGAUGCGUAGCCGACCUGAGAGGGUGAUCGGCCACACUGGAACUGAGACACGGUCCAGACUCCUACGGGAGGCAGCAGUAGGGAAUCUUCCGCAA